CCAACAGGGAUUGCCCCAGUAACGGCGAGUGAAGCGGCAACAGCUCAAAUUUGAAAUCUGGCUCUCGGGCCCGAGUUGUAAUUUGUAGAGGAUGCUUUUGGCGCGGUUCCUUCUGAGUUCCCUGGAAUGGGACGCCAUAGAGGGUGAGAGCCCCGUCCGGUCGGAUACCAAGCCUUUGUAAAGCUCCUUCGACGAGUCGAGUAGUUUGGGAAUGCUGCUCAAAAUGGGAGGUAAAUUUCUUCUAAAGCUAAAUACCGGCCAGAGACCGAUAGCGCACAAGUAGAGUGAUCGAAAGAUGAAAAGUACUUUGAAAAGAGGGUUAAAUAGUACGUGAAAUUGUUGAAAGGGAAGCGCUUGUGAUCAGACUUGCGCCUGGUAAAUCAUCUAGCGUUCUCGCUAGUGCACUUUGCCGGCUCAGGCCAGCAUCAGUUUGCCGUUGGGGAUAAAAACUUUGGGAACGUAGCUCUCUUCGGGGAGUGUUAUAGCCCGCUGUAUAAUACCUUUCGGCGGACUGAGGUACGCGCUCCGCAAGGAUGCUGGCGUAAUGGUCAUCAGCGACCCGUCUUGAAACACGGACCAAGGAGUCAACCUUAUAUGCGAGUGUUUGGGUGUUAAACCCCUACGCGGAAUGAAAGUGAACGUAGAUGAGAGCUUCGGCGCAUCAUCGACCGAUCCUGAUGUUCUCGGAUGGAUUUGAGUAAGAGCAUAUAGGGUUGGACCCGAAAGAAGGUGAACUAUGCGUGUAUAGGGUGAAGCCAGAGGAAACUCUGGUGGAGGCUCGCAGCGGUUCUGACGUGCAAAUCGAUCGUCAAAUAUGCGCAUGGGGGCGAAAGACUAAUCGAACCUUCUAGUAGCUGG
Molecule: ribosomal RNA, 858 nt
Filed under: Sporoschismopsis angustata
Lineage: Eukaryota; Fungi; Ascomycota; Sordariomycetes; Glomerellales; Reticulascaceae
Description: LSU rRNA
Rfam family: Eukaryotic large subunit ribosomal RNA
Source: RNAcentral